AACGAACGCUGGCGGCAUGCCUAACACAUGCAAGUCGAACGAGACCUUCGGGUCUAGUGGCGCACGGGUGCGUAACGCGUGGGAACCUGCCCUUAGGUUCGGAAUAACUCCCCGAAAGGGGUGCUAAUACCGGAUAAUGUCUUCGGACCGAAGAUUUAUCGCCUUUGGAUGGGCCCGCGUUGGAUUAGCUGGUUGGUAGGGUAAAAGCCUACCAAGGCGACGAUGCAUAGCUGGUCUGAGAGGAUGAUCAGCCACACUGGUACUGAGACACGGCCCAGACUCCUACGGGAGGCAGCAGUGGGGAAUAUUGGACAAUGGGCGAAAGCCUGAUCCAGCAAUGCCGCGUGAGUGAUGAAGGCCUUAGGGUUGUAAAGCUCUUUUACCCGGGAUGAUAAUGACAGUACCGGGAGAAUAAGCUCCGGCUAACUCCGUG
RNAcentral lists this ribosomal RNA (433 nucleotides) under uncultured bacterium. RNAcentral describes it as "partial 16S ribosomal RNA". It matches the Rfam family "Bacterial small subunit ribosomal RNA", at positions 29 to 507 of the family's 1533-position model. The record is from RNAcentral.